This 239-nucleotide ribosomal RNA is filed under the name uncultured bacterium. RNAcentral describes it as "partial 16S ribosomal RNA". It matches the Rfam family "Bacterial small subunit ribosomal RNA", at positions 118 to 353 of the family's 1533-position model. The record is from RNAcentral.
UGAGGAACAUGACCCUCGGCGGGGGAUAGCCGGCCCAACGGCCGGGUAAUACCGCGUACGACCUUUCGGGGACAUCCCUGAUUGGUGAAAGCAGCAAUGCGCCGAAAGAGUGCCUCGCGGCCUAUCAGCUAGUUGGUGAGGUAACGGCUCACCAAGGCAACGAUGCGUAGCCGACCUGAGAGGGUGAUCGGCCACAUUGGAACUGAGACACGGUCCAGACCUCCGUACGGGAGGNAGCG